AUGAUAUUGCAGCUCUUUUCAUUUAUGUGUUGUUUUAGUGCAUUAUUAUCUUCCAUGAUUUGUUUUUCACUGAUACAUUUUGUUGCAUAUAUGGAGGCCAUCUGCUAUUCUGCUGAUAUUUCUUAUUAUAUCAUCUUGUUUGCGAACUUAAAAAGGUCCCUCAAAGAGAAGCGUUUUUCAUAUGCUCCUGAAUCUGGUGUGCGGUAUGAUGGAGUUUACAGAUUGAGAACUGUUGGAGGAAGACUGGUAUUCAGCGGAGGGUCACAGAUUCACAGGUGUAAGGAUCAGUACAAUUGGGCCUCGCAUUAUUUUUUUCCAGAAUUGGGUUUUCAGGAUGUGAUUUUCAGUUUUAGGCAUUUGGUACUUUCGGCAUCGAGAAAAAAAAUUGUUCCUCUGAGCGUGUGCCUUCAAAUGCAAAGUUCUGACUAUGAUUUCGCGUGCAACCAUAGCGCCGUUGGCCGCUCUGCCUACCGAGUGCCACCCCGCCGCCUCCUCCCACCCCCCACCUGGGACCUCACCGCCCGCUCCCCGCCCGACACACCCACAACGCUUGAGGCUGAGCAGACGCCAUUGGCCCGUGGGCACGGAAACAGAGUCCAGGAUGGUGAUGGUGCCAAGGAGGACUCUCAAACGUCGACCGAUUGCAUCGUUGCUGCCGUACCAAUGGAGUGGCGCUGCUCCAACCACUCUGAGAUGACUCAUCAAUGGCAUCAUACGACUCAUAACACCACCGACUUGACCACAAAUCAGCCGCUGGUUGCAUGCCGUAGCACUAUCAGUUCCUUGUGGUGA
This 792-nucleotide ribosomal RNA is filed under the name Triticum aestivum (bread wheat). RNAcentral describes it as "partial small subunit ribosomal RNA". The record is from RNAcentral. Lineage: Eukaryota; Viridiplantae; Streptophyta; Magnoliopsida; Poales; Poaceae.